UACCAAGACGAUGAUGUGUAGCUGGACUGAGAGGUCGAACAGCCACAUUGGGACUGAGACACGGCCCAAACUCCUACGGGAGGCAGCAGUAGGGAAUUUUCGGCAAUGGAGGAAACUCUGACCGAGCAACGCCGCGUGAACGAUGAAGUAUUUCGGUAUGUAAAGUUCUUUUAUUGAAGAAGAAAAAAUAGUGGAAAAACUAUCUUGACGUUAUUCAAUGAAUAAGCCCCGGCUAACUAUGUGCCAGCAGCCGCGGUAAGACAUAGGGGGCGAGCGUUAUCCGGAAUUAUUGGGCGUAAAGGGUGCGUAGGCGGUUAGGAAAGUCUAUAAUUUAAUUUCAGUGCUUAACGCUGUCUUGUUAUAGAAACUACCUUGACUAGAGUUAGAUAGAGGCAAGCGGAAUUCCAUGUGUAGCGGUAAAAUGUGUAAAUAUAUGGAGGAACACCAGAAGCGUAGGCGGCUUGCUGGGUCUUGACUGACGCUGAGGCACGAAAGCGUGGGUAGCAAACAGGAUUAGAUACCCUGGUAGUCCACGCCGUAAACGAUGAGUACUAAGUGUCGGGAUAAAACUCGGUACUGAAGUUAACACAUUAAGUACUCCGCCUGAGUAGUACGUACGCAAGUAUGAAACUUAAAGGAAUUGACGGGACUCCGCACAAGCGGUGGAUCAUGUUGUUUAAUUCGAAGAUACACGAAAAAUCUUACCAGGUCUUGACAUGCUCUGCAAAGCUAUAGAAAUAUAGUGGAGGUUAUCAGGGACACAGGUGGUGCAUGGUUGUCGUCAGUUCGUGUCGUGAGAUGUUAGGUUAAGUCCUAAAACGAGCGCAACCCUUGUCGUUAGUUACCAGCACGUAAUGGUGGGCACUUUAACGAGACUGCCAAUUAAACAUUGGAGGAAGGUGAGGAUUACGUCAAAUCAUCAUGCCCCUUAUGAUCUGGGCUACAAACGUGAUACAAUGGCUGUUACAAAGAGUAGCUGAAGCGCGAGUUUUUAGCCAAUCUCAAAAAAGCAGUCUCAGUUCGG
This 1024-nucleotide ribosomal RNA is filed under the name Candidatus Phytoplasma fraxini. RNAcentral's name for it is "bacterial SSU rRNA". It matches the Rfam family "Bacterial small subunit ribosomal RNA", at positions 266 to 1296 of the family's 1533-position model. Lineage: Bacteria; Bacillati; Mycoplasmatota; Mollicutes; Acholeplasmatales; Acholeplasmataceae. The record is from RNAcentral.